CCUGAUGCAGCAACGCCGCGUGAGGUAUGAAGGCCUUUGGGUUGUAAGCCUCUGUCCUAGGGGAAGAAAAAAAUGACGGUACCCGAGGAGGAAGCCCCGGCUAACUACGUGCCAGCAGCCGCGGUAAUACGUAGGGGGCAAGCGUUAUCCGGAAUUAUUGGGCGUAAAGAGUGCGUAGGUGGUCUACUAAGCGCGAGGUGAAAGGCAAUGGCUCAACCAUUGUUAGCCUUGUGAACUGGCAGACUUGAGUGCAAGAGAGGAAAGCGGAAUUCCUAGUGUAGCGGUGAAAUGCGCAGAUAUUAGGAGGAACACCGGCGGCGAAGGCGGCUUUCUGGAUUGUAACUGACACUGAGGCACGAAAGCGUGGGUAGCAAACAGGAUUAGAUACCCUGGUAGUCCACGCCGUAAACGAUGAGCACUAAGGUGUCGGGACAUGAGUCUCGGUGCCGCAGUUAACGCAAUAAGUGCUCCGCCUGGGGAGUACGCACGCAAGUGUAAACUCAAGGAAUUGGACGGGGACCGCACAGCAGCGGAGCAUGU
RNAcentral lists this ribosomal RNA (540 nucleotides) under [Eubacterium] saphenum. RNAcentral describes it as "bacterial SSU rRNA". It matches the Rfam family "Bacterial small subunit ribosomal RNA", at positions 382 to 942 of the family's 1533-position model. Lineage: Bacteria; Bacillati; Bacillota; Clostridia; Peptostreptococcales; Anaerovoracaceae. The record is from RNAcentral.